GUUCAUUGAUAGAGAAACCUUUACGUGGUAAUGAACACAAGUAAUCCGGAAGGAUGAAACUAAUAUCUCU
Molecule: non-coding RNA, 70 nt
Filed under: unclassified sequences
Source: RNAcentral